NNNCGGUGAUGAUGCUAACUAGCUCACUUUGAGUCCUUGUGAAAAGACCUGAUCAUCUGAGCGAC
This 65-nucleotide small nucleolar RNA is filed under the name Lepisosteus oculatus (spotted gar). Lineage: Eukaryota; Metazoa; Chordata; Actinopteri; Semionotiformes; Lepisosteidae. The record is from RNAcentral.